Molecule: non-coding RNA, 3882 nt
Organism: Castor canadensis (American beaver)
Lineage: Eukaryota; Metazoa; Chordata; Mammalia; Rodentia; Castoridae
Source: RefSeq, a predicted model, not a curated record
GUGCUGAGCAUUAUAUGUACAAGAUUUUAAUCCUUAAGACACUUGGAGGUGUUAUUAUUUCUCUUUUACGGGUGGAGACACUGGAGCUCAGCGAGCUUACACAGUUUUUCCUACGCUCACAGGGUUAGAAGGUGAUAGGGUAGGAACAAAACUCACUCAGUCCCUCCACCCUAUACAGUGGUUCCUUCUUAUUCACAGGGGAUAUACUCCAGGACCUCUGAUGGGUGACUGAAAUCAUGGAGAGGACCCAACCUUAUCAUUUAAUGUCUUUUCCAUCAUAACUAAGCAUUUAUCAGACACUGUGGCUGUACCUUUUGCAGUUUGAAGUGCAACAGCAAAACUAGCAUGAAUGGUUUACUCAUUCACCAUUUCACAGGUGAAAGAUUUAUUACUAUAGGGCUUAGCAACCUCAACCUAUGAUUGCUUUUCUUCCCUUACUAAGAGCUUUCACCUUUCCACUUAAAGAAAGCACCUUCCAGCUUCGCUUUGGCUUGGCAGAUGAACUGCCCACAUCUCUAUGUGUACACUUUGUACCCAUUAUUAAGUAAAAUAAGGGUUACUCAAACAUAAACACUGCAGUACCAUAACAGUCAAACUGAUAACUGAGAUGGUUAUCAAGUGACUAACAGAAGGGUAGCAAUUGAGAAUGAUACAAAAUUUUAAAUGUACAAUAAAUUGUUUAUUUCUGAAACCACAGAAAGCCAAACUGCAGGUAAGAGGCACGGGACUAUUGUAUGAAGAAUUCAGACAAGAAUGCUAUGAGUUUCUCUGAAGAGAGAAAUCACAGUUAGGGAUGAAGAAAGCAAUCUGCCACACUUUGGCCUUGAAAGUACCAGGAAGGCUGAGCUAGUAACAUACUGGCAAAAGUACGCCAGACAAGAAGAUGGACAUUGUCCACCAGGUACCUGAGAAGAUGCUACAUUUUCCAGAUGAGGAAAACAGUGUGCAUGCCUGCUUCGCUUCUGAGAGAUAGACAAAGGCAAAAUGGUGGAAGGUCUUGAGUGCUUGGUGAAUUGUGGUUAGAUCUUCUGGAUCUAAUCAGCAUUUUAUGACAAAGGAAUCCAAAUCCAAGGUAUGAAUGGUUUAGAAAAAACGGAUCCAUUUCCAGGGCCAAAGAGGCAAGGGAAGCACAUUGUAUUAGUGGGAGCUAGAGAUAGCAUCCUGUAUGAGAAUGCAACCACAGAAUGUACUCAGGAAAAUAAAGGCUAUAAAGUGGUUGAGAUCAGAGAGCAUUAGAAACACACCUAACGAGGCACUUAAUCUCAUAUGUUACAGGUACUUACUCAUCCAAUGACCCAGUGCCCAUUAUGUGGCAGGCACUAUUCCAGAUACCUGGGAUUUAUCAGUGACAAAAUACACUUAAUAAAUUAUCUUCUACCGAGGAGCUCUCCUUCUAUGAUUGGUGCUAAUUCCUGGUCGGGAAAAUUCUUGACUCCCAGAAUCUGAGGAUAGAAAUACUGUACACUUGUGAUCUCAUGAUCCCAAACAGAAAUGCAAAUCUCUCUGGGAUGAAGCUGAGUGGCUAUGCAAAAGGACAGACACAGCACUUCUGAUUUAAGAGCAAGGAUGAUCUUACCCCAGUGUGGCUGGGGAAAGAAACUUAAGAUGGGCGGAUUGUCAGGCUUUCCUCUGAGUUGGAUCAGGAAAGCAAGCUCAAAACCAAGGUGAAGAGUUGGCAGUGUGACCCUUGAAGAGGAUUCCCGUUAGCCUGGGGCACCCUCUCUGUUUUCCACUCCCAAGGUGGAAUUAAUUUUGUAAUCUUCCAUAAUGUAGACAAACCGGAGACUUUCCAAUCCCAGCUUGGGUGGGUACUAUUUCAAGACAAAUUGUAACAAGAUGGCCUUUCACUGUAAAAGAGAGACAGGAGGCAGGAAGUAAAUACACCUGGAUACAUGUUUAAACGGGAGAGAUUCUGCAAGAAAGCCUUGGUUGUAAGACAGAAAAUUAGAGAGAUGGAAUUUUUCUCAGAUUCCUAAAAGCACUAUGCAGAUGAAGAUAAGAUACUAAAAGCAGCUACUCACUUUCUGCAAAAAGACAGCUCAAGGUCAGGAGAGCAUUGUGGGUUCUCUGAUGAAGACUUGACCUCCAGGGAAGCAGAGCAGCAGAUCAUCCCCAGACAGCUUUUAGCAGAGACUUGAUAAACAGCAGCAUCACUUCGGGUGCAGCUAGGAUGAAGAGAACGUAGGGCACAGCAGAACCUGACUGUAACCUUCAAAAAGGCCUCCUUGUUGCAAAGAAGAGGUUGUCUCACAAGUGUGAUCCCCAGACAGAUUUUUAUCUGUUUCUUUGCUGCCUUUUUAAAAAUGAUGUUCAUGAAAGACCACAAUUCCCCGUUUACACACACGUCGGUACCAAUUGAUUUCACGAGGUAAAAAAGUCUUUGAAUUUUUCCUCCCUCCUUUCAACUCCCACAUAUUUUGAAUAAAAAACAAAGCUCUUUUUCAAGCUACAGUACAUGCUAUGAUUGAUGUUUCUUUCCCUUCAAGUACUUUCUUGGCUUUCCAUUUCUCCUUCCUGCCAAGCCCCAGACCUGUGGCCAUGUAAGGGUCACAGCACUGACACACCUCUUCUGUUAAGAAUGGUAUGAGAAGGAGAAUUCAGGGAGGACUGGAUGGGUUGUCACCAGGUAUAGGAGAGAGGGAAAGCCAAAGAAUGAUAAAUACAGCAGCAGGGGUCUUGGCUCAAAGCAGAGCUGCAGAUUAGAGUUGUUAAACCCAAAAGGCCCUGGAGAAACAGAAGCUUUCAAAUAUCUAAGAGCUCAGAUUUAAUGACCCAAACUGAGGUAGAUAAAGAAAAGUGCUUUUCUUUGGGCUAUGAGCUAAUCCAGUGGUUUACACUGCAUUAAUAAUAGCAGGACAAUUUGAGACUAACUAACAACUUGCUGAAAGAGAGCAAAGGUUACAAGUGAGGCAGGAACAGUGGAGCUCAGCCAGUGCCUGGUCAGAGUAGGGUGAAACAGCCCUUCCAGUGUGCUAAACUCAGUUCUGGCAUUGGCUGGGCUAGGGCAAGCCCUGAAGAGUGCUGGGUGGAGAUGAUGGUCAGGAGAACGGCACAGUCACCGCAAGCCUAUGGGCUCAUGGAGUAUACAAGGUUGAAUAGUGUUAGUUGUCUAACAACUAGCCUGUAAUCUUUGGAAGGCAUUUGCAUAAGAGACCAAUGGUUUUCCUAACCAGAUUCAAUAUAUUGGUAUAAGUCAUAUUACUUUCCAGUGAAUUUUUAGGAGACAAAGUGUUUUUUGUCUUGGGCAACACAUUGGAAUGACCUGGCAUUCAGAUUUGAUCAGUUAAAGGUAAAACCCAAACAAACAUUGGUGGGGUUCUGCCGUUGAUGCCAAGGGGCAGCUCCAGUCCAGGACAACUAGUGUAAAACAUCAGAACAUUCAAAGGUCAUAGGUACCCAGCAAAGUGUGACCCUAUCUAUUGUCAUAUAAUUCUAUCAUCAGAUCUUCCUUUAGGACUGAAUACUUCUCCCAGUAGGUGGGGCUACUUUUCAAAAUGGUGGGCCAGGAGCUUGAAAAGAGUGAAUACUGUUACGGUAAAUCUUCACGUUUUACAAAAACUACUACCCUGGUGGACACAGAGCAGAGAACAGUGACUCCCUGACCCUUCCAUAGUACAAGUUCCCUUCCUAUCCUGUCUUCCCCGCUUUGGCCUGCUCACCUGUCUUUGGGACUUCAUCAUAGCUUUCUGCAUCCCUUACCACCAUGGCCCUAUAUAAACAACACAAACGGUAACAGACAAUCUCAGUUUUUAAAGGAAUACACAUCAAACUUCUCUUCAAUCUAAAAUGUGAGCACUAUAUUUUGGCUUAGCAUAAAAAUAAAAUUGAGAAAUAUGUAGUAAGCACUUAUAGAGAAAAAAAAGCAGCAUAUAAAUCCUCAAA